AGAUUGAACGCUGGCGGCAGGCCUAACACAUGCAAGUCGAGCGGCAGCACGGGUACUUGUACCUGGUGGCGAGCGGCGGACGGGUGAGUAAUGCCUAGGAAUCUGCCUGGUAGUGGGGGAUAACGCUCGGAAACGGACGCUAAUACCGCAUACGUCCUACGGGAGAAAGCAGGGGACCUUCGGGCCUGGCGCGAUUGGAUGAGUCCAUGUCGGAUUAGCUAGUUGGCGGGGUAACGCCCACAAGGCGACGAUCCGUAGCUGGUCUGAGAGGUAUGAU
RNAcentral lists this ribosomal RNA (277 nucleotides) under uncultured soil bacterium. RNAcentral describes it as "partial 16S ribosomal RNA". It matches the Rfam family "Bacterial small subunit ribosomal RNA", at positions 26 to 304 of the family's 1533-position model. The record is from RNAcentral.